AACACACUUAAGCAAUACAAAAGAACAUAAAAAGAGACAUUUGCUUCCCUAAACUUUAGUGCGGAUUUCACCAGUGACCAUGGUAGCCAGAUACUUCCUUCUGCUGUUUGUCCUCAGUGGAGCUGACAGUUCUCGGAUUAUUGGAGGCCGAGAUGCUGCCCCCCACUCACUCCCCUACAUGGCCUCAGUGCAACUUCAAGGUCGCCAUUUGUGUGGAGGAGCACUAGUGAGAGAGGACUUUGUACUCACAGCAGCACAUUGUGAGACACGUUGUUUGAUUUAAUAUGCAGCAUUUGCAGAACUGACAAAAAACCUCUCUAUCAGUUUUUCUACAUAUCAUAAUAGGUGCUUCGUGGAAGAAAAACUAUUAACAUUGGGUCCUUGAUAACAUAAUAAAUGUUGCUGCAAUUUGUAGAAUACCCACAGUCGUGCUGGGAGUUGAUUCCCUGACAGUACCUGUCAGGGAAUCAGCAGCAGUUUGACCACAAGGAAAGCAGCAGUUCCUUGUGGUCAAAUCUUUAAAGCAUCCAGGCUAUGAUGGACACAAAAACGAUAUCAUGCUCCUCAAGGGAUCACUGUUGAACUCGAACAAAAGUUACUGGAUCGUCUUUGUAAUAAUCCAGACGGAUUUGGUGCUUGAGGCCUGGAUCAACAUGUCAAUCGUUCAUCAAAACUGGUGAGUGAUAAUAUUGUUUAACAGUGAAGCUAGAAGACAUUAUUUCACUACAAAGACUGAUGAACUAAGUUGUACUAAAUUGGUGCAUAAUUGGAUCGCUAAUUGAAACAUGCCAACGCU
Oreochromis niloticus (Nile tilapia) is the source of this 796-nucleotide long non-coding RNA. RefSeq lists it as uncharacterized. The transcript is spliced from 3 exons. The record is from RefSeq and is a predicted model, not a curated record. Lineage: Eukaryota; Metazoa; Chordata; Actinopteri; Cichliformes; Cichlidae.